This 115-nucleotide ribosomal RNA is filed under the name Danio rerio (zebrafish). The record is from RNAcentral. Lineage: Eukaryota; Metazoa; Chordata; Actinopteri; Cypriniformes; Danionidae.
GCCGACAGCUAGCUCUCUGCAACUCUCACAUGGUCACCCACUGAAGUUAUGCAGGGCUGCGCCCAGUCAGUACCUGGAUGAGUAACCACAUGGGAAAUCUAGGUUGCUGCCGGAA